Molecule: ribosomal RNA, 555 nt
Filed under: Triticum aestivum (bread wheat)
Lineage: Eukaryota; Viridiplantae; Streptophyta; Magnoliopsida; Poales; Poaceae
Description: partial small subunit ribosomal RNA
Source: RNAcentral
AUGAUACGAGCCAAUGUCACGGAAGAUGAUGAGCAAACUAUGGUACGCUUAUUGAAUGGACUCAAUCAUCCCAUUAAGAAGAUCGCCAACUUCCAACCAUACUUGAACCUCAUCGAGCUAGUGCAUCAAGCUACCAAAGCGGAACGUCAAGUGCAAGAAGACUUCAAGUAUGCCAAGUUCUCAUCCAAGUCAUACGGCUUCUCCAACACCCAAGCUUCAAUGACUCCACCACCGUCUACCUUAACCAAGCCUUCUACAAGCAACGUCGACAAGUCGAGUUACAAGAAAACUUCGACAACUCCAAGUCAUCCUCCUACUACAAGCAACUUCAAGCCGAGAGAUUCAUCAUCAUCUACCCCAACCGAUGAGACCGUCAAGACAAGUUCCUUCAAAUGCUUCACAUGCGGAGGCCAAGGCCACAUGUCCUUUGAGUGUACCAACAAGAGGACCAUGAUCCUCAACGACGAUGGUACAUACGACUCCAUGAGCGAAGGAGAAACGAAAGAACUUGAGAAAGUCGCCAUGCACAGGCAAGUGAACGAUGAAGAGGAAUAA